GACGAACGCUGGCGGCGUGCUUAACACAUGCAAGUCGAACGGAAAGGCCCUGCUUGCCGGGUACUCGAGUGGCGAACGGGUGAGUAACACGUGGGUGAUCUGCCCUGCACUUCGGGAUAAGCCUGGGAAACUGGGUCUAAUACCGGAUAGGAGCCAUUUUUAGUUUGAUGGUUGGAAAGUUUUUUCGGUGUAGGAUGAGAUCGCGGCCUAUCAGCUUGUUGGUGGGGUAAUGGCCUACCAAGGCGGCGACGGGUAGCCGGCCUGAGAGGGUGGACGGCCACAUUGGGACUGAGAUACGGCCCAGACUCCUACGGGAGGCAGCAGUGGGGAAUAUUGCACAAUGGGCGCAAGCCUGAUGCAGCGACGCCGCGUGGGGGAGGACGGCCUUCGGGUUGUAAACUCCUUUCGCUAGGGACGAAGCUUUUUGUGACGGUACCUAGAUAAGAAGCACCGGCUAACUACGUG
RNAcentral lists this ribosomal RNA (465 nucleotides) under uncultured bacterium. Its description in RNAcentral is "partial 16S ribosomal RNA". It matches the Rfam family "Bacterial small subunit ribosomal RNA", at positions 28 to 507 of the family's 1533-position model. The record is from RNAcentral.